CCUGGAGGCUUUUGGCCAACAGAGUUUCCUGAGUUCCCCCUGCAAGAAGGACAGUGAUAGCUUUUGAGUGCUGGUAGAUCCUUUGAAUAGAUAGCCUUGAGUGUGUCCUUGUUGCACCAGUAAGCCUUGUCCAACUCCCCAUAUUCCAGGAGAUAUACAUAUUGAAGUUUAAAAUGAUCCUUUUCCUAAUCCUUUGUUGUCUUGAGGCUCUCCCCUGCAGGAACUCCAGGAACUCCUGGUGCCGCCUGGGCCGAUGGAUUGGACGCCCCAGCCCCUCCGUUCCUGCCCAGCCACUGGGUCCGUGUCCAGUGGUGGCACUGCCAGCCCUGCAGUGGGAUGUAGCCUGGAAAGUGCACAGAGCUGAGCUAAGGGAUUGAAAGGGAUCAAGCAAGGGAGGUGAAGAAAGAAGGAAGAAGGGAAGUGAGGCAGCAGGCAAACAGCACCAAGUUGCUGUGUAAGCAGUGGGAUGUACCCUAGAAACUCCAUGGAGCUGAGCCAAGGCAUUUAGAGGGAUUAAGCAAGCGAAGUAAAGAAAGAAUGAAGAAGGGAACUGAGAGAGCAGCCAAGCAGCACCAAGUUCCUCUACAACCAGGAGAAAAUGGGGAAAGCAGGAAGGAAGAAAAGCAGCCCCCUGACUCCUCCCUGAGCCCCAGACAGCCCAUGAACUGCCUUGCUGGGAAUGGUAGGACAGGCUGGACUCUGGAUUGCUCCCUCUGGAUGUGUGGAACUCCAGGAACUCCUGGUGCCGCCUGGGCCGAUGGAUUGGACGCCCCAGCCCCUCCGUUCCUGCCCAGCCCCUGGGUCCGUGUCCAGUGGUGGCACUGCCAGCCCUGCAGGUGAAGUGGGAAGGGCCUUUCCAGGUCUUGUGGGUCACAUUGAUAGCAGCUGACAUUGCAGAAAAAGGACCUGGGGUCUGUUAUUGUUGAGUUCAGAAAGCUCCUUUUGGUUGGUGAGCAGAACAAAGUGGAUCCUUCAGAGUUCCCAUCCGUGUUUGUGUCUCAGCCUGUGUUAGGAUUCAGGGCUGUAGCUGUUGUUGUCACUGAGGAGUCAAACUCUGCUUUAAAUAAUGAGACACUGGCCUGAUGGCCAAGUGUCAAGAAUAAAGGGGGAAUGAUAUCUGAGUGCUGAGAUGUAACAAGAGCUGAUCCUUUUUGCAGUGGGAGGUAGCCUGGAAAGUGCACAGAGCUGAGCCAAGGGAUUGAAAGGGACCAAGCAAGGGAAGUGAAGAAAGAAGGAAGAAGGGAAGUGAGGCAGCAGGCAAGCAGCAGCAAGUUGCUGUGUAAGCAGGUGAGUUGUGUUGAGGUUCCUCAGGCAGGCACUGAGGACUUUGAGGGCUCCAGACAGAGCAGACCUGGGAAGGCCCUCGGUGAAGCCCCUUGGAAACCUUUUAAGGGUAGGUGUGUAUGGUAAUAAGUGUUGGAGAAUGUCCUGACUGUGGAACAGGAAUGCAGGGAAGGAAAAUGAACCCUCCUGUAAUGCUGACCCCUCCCAUCAGCUGCAGUGGAGACACUUCCGUGUGCCCUUUGGGAUCUGAUUGCCAGGGCACCCGUGGGGCUGGGAUCAUGGCAGGGUGUUGUAAGCAAGGAAUGCCUGGCUUCUAAAACUCACCUGCUGAGUCUUAGAGGCUUCGUUGAAGAGCUGAGUUGAGGCAGCAGAAUUGCCCCCCCAGGAGGGACUCUGUGCCUGCUCUCCCGUGGCUCCAAGGGAUCUCUGGCCCUUCACGCCGGCACCGAGAUUUUCUCGGGAAGGGCCUCAGAUCCCCGGACCAGUCUGGGACACAGGCAAGAUCCCCCUGCAUUUUAGGA
Pseudopipra pipra is the source of this 1805-nucleotide long non-coding RNA. RefSeq lists it as uncharacterized. The record is from RefSeq and is a predicted model, not a curated record. Lineage: Eukaryota; Metazoa; Chordata; Aves; Passeriformes; Pipridae. The transcript is spliced from 5 exons.